UACGAGGGGUGCAAGCGUUGCUCGGAAUUAUUGGGCGUAAAGGGUAGGUAGGUGGUCUCAUUUGUCAGGGGUGAAAGCCUUGGGCUUAACCCAAGAAGUGCCCUUGAAACGGUGAGACUGGAGUCUUGGAGAGGGUCGUGGAAUUCCCGGGUGAGCGGUGAAAUGCGUAGAGAUCGGGAGGAACACCAGAGGCGAAGGCGGCGACCUGGACAAGUACUGACACUCAACUACGAAAGCGUGGGUAGCAAACAGG
RNAcentral lists this ribosomal RNA (253 nucleotides) under uncultured bacterium. Its description in RNAcentral is "partial 16S ribosomal RNA". It matches the Rfam family "Bacterial small subunit ribosomal RNA", at positions 524 to 776 of the family's 1533-position model. The record is from RNAcentral.